This 254-nucleotide ribosomal RNA is filed under the name uncultured bacterium. RNAcentral's name for it is "partial 16S ribosomal RNA". It matches the Rfam family "Bacterial small subunit ribosomal RNA", at positions 524 to 776 of the family's 1533-position model. The record is from RNAcentral.
UACAGAGGUCUCAAGCGUUGUUCGGAUUUAUUGGGCGUAAAGGGCGCGUAGGCGGCGGGGUAAGUCGGGUGUGAAAUCUCAGGGCUCAACCCUGAAACUGCACUUGAUACUGCUCUGCUUGAGGACUGGAGAGGAGACUGGAAUUCACGGUGUAGCAGUGAAAUGCGUAGAUAUCGUGAGGAAGACCAGUGGCGAAGGCGGGUCUCUGGACAGUUUCCUGACGCUGAGGCGCGAAGGCCAGGGGAGCAAACGGG